Molecule: long non-coding RNA, 1255 nt
Organism: Eucalyptus grandis
Lineage: Eukaryota; Viridiplantae; Streptophyta; Magnoliopsida; Myrtales; Myrtaceae
Exons: 3
Source: RefSeq, a predicted model, not a curated record
UUUUAGACUUUUGGUCUCUCUCUCUUCAAGCCUUCUCAGACAAACUUCACCGCCUCUGUCUUUCUCCCCGUUCGUGCGACGCUUAUGCUCCUACCUCAAUUUCAUUUUCAUGUUUUCCCUGCAUCUUCAUCUUCAUUCAUUCUCCGUGAACGAAGUCCCACCCAAAAUCACUCAGCCUCAUCAACGUCCCUGCUCUAGUUCUUGGUGCCUCCCUUAGUCAACCGAGCAAUUCCUUCUUCGUCCGAGUUCUUCGACGCCAGCUCUCGGUCAACUCGGCGAUUACCUCAGCAAGUGUUGACUGCCAAGCCCACCGAAUCUGCUUGCUUUCAUCUCCUGUGAAGACCUUCGGUUUUGUUGAUUGAAGCAGCGUCCUUCGAAGAAGCCAGCUGCCUUCUUCUUCUUUCGGUUUUGAUGAGCUGUCCAGCAGUCCGAAGUUCCCUGCCCCUUUCGUUGCCACCAAAGAUCAGCGAAGCUCCUCAAGCUCACUUCAUCUCACCGAACCGAAGCGGCCACGUCUCCAGCAAAUUUCGUGAGCCCAUCUUCGUGUAAGCCGCAGCCCAUCUUCACAGCGUCUUCGUCUUGUCCUCGUGAAGCCAGCGACAAAACCCUGCCGCUCCAUGGUCGUUUGUCUUCUACCACUGUUUCAGCAUCUCCAUCUCGCCAACUGAAGCUGCCAGCGAAGCCCGCACGUGGAUCAGCAGCAACGCAUGAAGCCCAGCUUCAUUUCUUUAGCCCGUAUCAGCCCAUCGUGUCUUCAAGUCCAAGCCCACGUGAAUUCUGCCGCAAGCCAACAAAUUCAGCCCAUUUGAAGCUUAGUCCAGCAAGGCCCAGCAACUCCUUUAAGCCCAAGUCCAGCAGCCCAUCUUGAAGUCAGCUCAGUCCAGUGAAGCCCGGCCCGUUUCAGCAACAAAUCUUAGUUGGGCUGAGAUUUGUUGGGCCAAGUUUAGGCCCGGCCCAAGUUUGUCGACACCGCCGAAAAUUUCGAUUUCAACCGCCGUCGCGUCGUUGUCGCGGUGAACCAGUUUCCGCAAUUAACCGGGUCGUCGAGUGGAGGACCUGGAGCUGAGAGGAGGUGAUCGGAAGCGUAGGUCCUUAAAUGGUGGUUGUGGAGGACCCGAAGCCCUAAGUCUGGAAAGGUGGAGACUAAAGUAUCGGUGAACGUGUCCUGCUAGUUGGUUUUAGGAUAGUUUCCCUUUUGUCGAGCUGGUCUAUUUUGUAGACAGUCCAAAGUUGUAUUUAAACCUAUGUGUUUGUA